Molecule: ribosomal RNA, 460 nt
Filed under: uncultured bacterium
Lineage: Bacteria
Description: partial 16S ribosomal RNA
Rfam family: Bacterial small subunit ribosomal RNA
Source: RNAcentral
CCUACGGGUGGCAGCAGUGAGGAAUAUUGGUCAAUGGACGAGAGUCUGAACCAGCCAAGCAGCGUGAAGGAUGACGGCCCUAUGGGUUGUAAACUUCUUUUAUAUGGGAAUAAAACAGGGUAUGCAUACCAUCUUGUAUGUACCAUAUGAAUAAGGAUCGGCUAACUCCGUGCCAGCAGCCGCGGUAAUACGGAGGAUCCGAGCGUUAUCCGGAUUUAUUGGGUGUAAAGGGAGCGUAGGUGGAUUGGUAAGUCAGUUGUGAAAGUUUGCGGCUCAACCGUAAAAUUGCAUUUGAAACUGGCAGUCUUGAGUACAGUAGAGGUGGGCGGAAUUCGUGGUGUAGCGGUGAAAUGCUUAGAUAUCACGAAGAACACCGAUUGCGAAGGCAGCUCACUGGACUGCAACUGACACUGAGGCUCGAAAGUGUGGGGAUCAAACAGGAUUAGAUACCCUAGUAGUC